RNAcentral lists this ribosomal RNA (259 nucleotides) under uncultured bacterium. Its description in RNAcentral is "partial 16S ribosomal RNA". It matches the Rfam family "Bacterial small subunit ribosomal RNA", at positions 795 to 1052 of the family's 1533-position model. The record is from RNAcentral.
CCACGCCGUAAACGAUGAUUACUCGUAGUAUGCGAUAUAUUGUAUGCUACUAAGGGAAACCGAUAAGUAAUCCACCUGGGGAGUACGCCGGCAACGGUGAAACUCAAAGGAAUUGACGGGGGCCCGCACAAGCGGAGGAACAUGUGGUUUAAUUCGAUGAUACGCGAGGAACCUUACCCGGGAUUGAAAUGUAUAUGCCGUUUCUCUGAAAGGAGAGACAUUCACUUCGGUGACAUAUAUGUAGGUGCUGCAUGGUUGU